Molecule: non-coding RNA, 72 nt
Organism: Gekko japonicus
Lineage: Eukaryota; Metazoa; Chordata; Lepidosauria; Squamata; Gekkonidae
Source: the annotation of a RefSeq genome assembly
GGGGCUGUGGCUCAGUGGAAAAACUUCUGCUUCUCAUGCAGAAGGUUCCCGGUUCAAUCCCUGGCAUCCCCA